ACCUCUUCUGACCUCUGUAAGGUCCUGCACACGUGUGCUGCACGCACAUACACACACUCAGGCAAACACAUACACAUGGAAUUUAAACUAAAAAAAUAAUUAUUAUUUCUGAAGUCAAUGUUUCUUUGAUCACAUUGUCUAGUUACUGCUUACGUUGUUCAUGUAUUUCAUAAACUUGGAGAACUUAAGGUUGAGCAACUAAAAGGAUUUCCUUUUAGUUAUUUUUAGGAUUUUCAGUGAGACUCCAUAGUCACCUCUAAAACUGAGUUUCUUGAUGACAUUUAGCAUUUGGAGAGGGGCCACGUUCUCAUACGUUGGCCUCUCUUCUCUUACCUCUUUCACAUCCCUUUCUCCUUGUCUUGGCCCCCCUCCCCUUUUGUUUGCUCAUUCCUGCAGUUUCUUGUGUUGCUGGAAAUCAAGGCGCUACCAAGAAAUGCCAGCAAAAGGAAGAGAAGGAAAACUGGUUUCAGGCCUCAGGACGACACUGAAGAAAUAGCUUGCUCAAACACUUAUUUGCAAAAUGAAGGUUUCUUCAGAUCUUCUGCGGCAUCACACACUGCUUGCUUGCUUGGGUGUACAGAGCCAUGAGGUGAUGAUGGACCAUGAAAGAGCAAAAUUCAAGUGAGAUGCUGGUCUCGAACGGGAAGGCAGUCUAUCUGGGUUUCAGCACAGUGAGAAUGCAAAGACUUCCUGGCUGGCCUUGCUUCCCCUCGAUACUAUGUGGUUCUCUGACAUCAGCACAGAUAUAUUCAGCCUUGACAUACGAUACUGGCUGGCAUGAAAAAGAAGGUGAAGAUGAGUAAGCUUACAAGCAGGACAUGGCUGUGCUUAAGACUAAAUGGUAUUUGUAACAGGUGUUCCUUGGAACCAGGGUCAGAAAGGACUGCUUCUUCUAUUUAAAAAAAAUGGUUAAGUAGCUUUUACAUGUAGAAACUACGAAAUUGAUGCAUUUGUGACUAUGACACACCAGGAAAUUAUAUUCAGUAAUGAGGUGCAGCCACAGUUUUCCCUUUGUUCCUUCUAUUUCUGUCUCUGCGUGUAUGUAAUGUAUGCACAUUUUGGUGUAGGCUUGGGCACCGGGUCAAUGCCACCAUAAAUGUGGGGGGAGCAGCCUCGAGGACUGGUCCUUGCUUCCUACAUAUUUGACAGAGGCUCUCCUGUUGUUCUCUGCUGUCCAUGUUGGACUAGAUGGCCCAGGAGCCUUAGGAUACUGUCCUGUGUCUGCCUCCCAGCCUCCACAGGAACACGGCAUGAUUACAGAUGCUUUGACGCUCAGACUGUUGGGCACGCAUGACAAACAUUUACCCUCUGAGCUGGAUCCCCAGCCUGGCAAACACUUGCCCACUGAACCAUAUCGACAGCCCAAUUCCUUCUAUUUCCAGAUAUAAGGCGUCAUGUGCCUAUGGCAUAUGUUCAGAGGUGGUGGGAUGAGUUGGUUUAACUCCUGAGAUUUUUUUUUCCUAAUGGUUCUACACUCUGUAUAUGGCAAACUUUUAUAUUUUAAAGACAGAAUAUCUUCUUCAUUCUUGGAGAAUGAUUAAAUUUAACAGGUUGUCAGGCAAUUAACAAUAACAGCAGAACUGAACAAUCAAACACUUCUUACUUAUUUUUAACAUCAGAUUCUAAAGCAUUGUUGUUAUUAAAUAGUAACAAGAGACCGUUUGCAUCAAAGUUUAGUAACCCAAAGCCCCCCCCCCCCCAUAUUUACAAAAACAAAAAAGCAUUUUUCUUAAUGUUUACUUCCAAUACUGGCUGUUCCUUUAAGAGUAAUCAAGCUGGCUUAGUGUAAUAGUAGACUUUGAAGUCAUGGCAUCUAGACUACUUUUCUUAGGUUAUGACUUUGUCCCUGUGACUCCCCUUCCAGCCCCACCACUGGCUCUAACCAGAGUGUGGCUAGGACUUCAAUCUAGGAAACACAUGUCUGGACUUCUUCUGGUUCUUGAAGUUUGAUAUUACUCAUUGCAAAGUAUUUUCUGCAGAGAAAGAAAUCAAAUAUGGCAAAUUCAUUGUCUAGAAAACUACUGUUGAAUUUACUUACUAGUUUGGCUCUAUCUAAUUUUUAAAAAUUUAUAUGAUAGGGAACGAUGGUUAUUCCUCUUUCCUAUCUACUCUGGAAGUUCUGAUAUUUCUGCAUCACUCACUGAAGUAAUAAUAAAACACCACAACCCAGAGGAAACACCACCUCCAAUAGAUGUAUGUAUAAAAAUGUUUUUGUAUGCCAAUUUUCCUUAUCCUCUUUCUUAUAAUUAGCGUGCUAUUAUAUUUGACCCUAGCACAAUGUUUUAAUUAGGCUGUCCAUGCAUAUUUCAAUAAACUUGAUUUUUUUGACACUUCAAACAUAACCUUGUGUCACUCAUGCCUGCCUCCUAUUUUAAAUUUAUGACAUGUUCCAGCUGUAGAAAUUACCAUGGUUACUUCUUACGCUGAUAGUAAACUAGAGCUGGCACUUAAAAGUACUGUGCUCUAUUACGUAUCUGCAUUGACAUGGACAUCAACAUCUCAAUAAUUCCAACAUUAUCAAUUAAUAUGGGAACCUGAAGAAAUGUGACUAUGAGACAAUUAGUCACUGUUGAAGAUAUUUUUAAGAGAUGAAAUGUAUGUAAAGGUUUUUUUUGUGGCAGCAUGGUCUAUUGAUGUUCUUUCUCUGAUUCUUCAUGUGAAUGCCAAAUAUGGUUUUAUUACCAAUACUGUUGAAUGGUUGCAGUCUUACUCCUGCUGUACUCUUUAGAAACAGACAGGAUAUCAGUACUUUGGGUGAACAUGAUUGAUUCAAUUAGGAACUGAUGAACAGAGAACAUGAGAAGUAUGUCUUCCCCCAAACACUCUUGUCUAAGAGUGGUAUCUGGGACUGAGGUGAUCUGAUCAGAAUCUACAAUUCUCUGCAGACCAGUUAUGUUAUUUCUGCUCUUAGACUUUUCUUACUUCAGAAGAGACACAAGGACAGUGUCUUCAUUAACACACUGGACAUGACAGGUGAGGUUUGUGACUGCUUCGCCUUGGCUAAGGCUGUCCCAAGCAAGACUGCAUCUAAGACACAGUUCCUUUGUAAGUCACUGUUGGACCACCCCUCCUUCGGAAGGAGCUUUAGAGUGUCUUGGAAAUCACCCACGGACUGAGGCCAGUGCCACAUGCUGCCGCACUGAGAUCUGUGCUUACCUG
Peromyscus maniculatus bairdii (prairie deer mouse) is the source of this 3159-nucleotide non-coding RNA. Lineage: Eukaryota; Metazoa; Chordata; Mammalia; Rodentia; Cricetidae. The record is from RefSeq and is a predicted model, not a curated record.